CCCCGACUAGAUCUGUUGAUAAAGCAUGAGACUCAUAAUCUCAGGGUAGUGGGUUCGUGUCCCACAUCGGGCA
This 73-nucleotide transfer RNA is filed under the name Lepisosteus oculatus (spotted gar). It matches the Rfam family "tRNA". From Rfam's summary of the family: Transfer RNA (tRNA) molecules are approximately 80 nucleotides in length. The record is from Rfam by way of RNAcentral. Lineage: Eukaryota; Metazoa; Chordata; Actinopteri; Semionotiformes; Lepisosteidae.